AUGGAUGUGAAGAUAAUUAGUACCACUCGCUGCACACAUCAGAUCAAACCAAGUCAAGCAUUUUCCAUGGACCUCGUGGUGAGGGAGGCCAUGGCGAAGAUGGGCGAGCUCCUCACGGAGGAGAAGAGCCUGCCGGCGGGCGUGAGGGAAGACGUCGAGUUCCUCUCCAGAGAGCUGACGCAUAUGCAACGGCAGGUGGGGCCACCGGUGGGCGGCGACGAGCUGUUCAGGGUCUUGGCAGACGAGAACAUGGCCCUGGCCAACCGCAUCGAGAAGGUCGUCGACGCCUUUGUACAGGUGCGUGGCGUCGACGGCAACCGGGAUGUGGCCGCCGGCUUCAAGGGGCUCGUGGAGAAGACGACCAACUUCUUCAACAAGGGCAAGGUUAAACGUCAGGUCGCCACCGAGAUGAAAGAGCUGAAGGGCGAGGUUGAGGAGGCGAUCGCCCGGCGUAAGAGGUACGACAUGAUCAAUGUGGUUGGUGUCGUUGCUCCGACCGCCGCAAUCGACCCUCGGCUCUUGGCACAGUACAAAGACCAUAGAGAGAUUGUUGGCAUCCAAGAGACAAGGGACGAGCUGAUCACGAUGCUCUCCCCUGGCUCUUGCCCUGAAGACGAUGUUGAUGUGUCGCCGAGGUCGGAGCAACUCAAGAUAUUCUCCAUCACGGGAUUCGGAGGAUUGGGCAAGACAACUCUGGCCAAGGCAGUUUACGACAGGCUCAAGGCGCAAUAUGAUUGCACGGCUUUUGUUUCUGUAGGUCUGAAUCCUGAUGUGAUCAAAGUCUUCAGGGACAUCCUCUUCAGCCUCGACAACAAGAAAUACAUGGGUCUCGAUGCAACUGUGUUGGACCAGAAACAAGAGCUCGUCGACCAACUCAGAGGAAUACUGGACAACAGGAGGUUCUUGAUCGUAGUGGAUGACAUAUGGGAUUGGGAAUCAUGGGAUGAUAUCAGUCGUCCCUUGGUCGGAAGCAGCAGCAGUAGCAACGGCAGCGCAGUUGUGAUGACAAGCCGGAGAGGUGAUGUUGCUCGCCGUGUCGGUGGUGUUCACACCAAAUUAGCACCCCUCACCACCGGCUACUCCACAAGAUUGUUUCGGCAGACGGCCUUCGGUGGCUCCGGCGAGCACUAUCCCCCUGAGCUGGCGGACAUAUCCGACGAGAUCAUCAGAAAUUGCAGUGGGAUGCCAUUAGCGAUCAUCACCAUGGCCAGCUCGCUGAGAGGGACGCCGCUGAGGGACUGGCAUGCGGUGCAUGAGUCCAACUAUUUCGACCAUUCAUGGUCCAAGGACAUGAGAGCGAUACUAGCUAUGUCUUACACCAAUCUACCUCCCCUUGUCAGGCUUUGCUUGCUCUAUCUAAGCAUGUUUGGCAAGGGUUGUGAGGUGAGCGUGGACCGCUUGCUAUGGGGGUGGAUAGCCGAGGGUUUUCUGGACAACCCGGGACUCGACGGCAGCGAUGGUGGGAUCAUGUCGACAUGGCGGGAAAGAGGGGAGCUUUACCUGGACGAGCUCGUCAACAGCGGCCUGGUCGAGCCGGUGGACGUCGGCACCGGCGGUAGGGCUGUAUCUUGCCGUGUGCACAGCAACAUUGUGCAUGACCUCAUAGUCUCGCUGUCAGCUUCGGAAAACUAUGCUGCCAUACUAGAUGGCCGGAAGAAAAGCAGCAGCACCAACAGCAGCUCUGGUUUGCCCGAUACCUCACUAGUCAAGCGACUAUCCAUCCAGAUCCAGGGCCAGUGGGGCAAUAACUCUGGCUGGCUGCCGCCACGAGUACGGUUGACCGAUGUGACGUCGCUUGUCGUCUCCGGCGAUGAUGCAGCCUGUGUGCCAUCCCUCUCGGAGUUCCAUGAUCUGCGUGCUCUGGAUCUGGAUAUAGGAGGGUGCGCCGAUGUGCAAAACGACCAUCUCAAGGGCAUCGCCGGUCUGUCUAGACUGCGUCUGCGGGUUCUAGAUCUGAGGGCAACCAGCAGCAUCAAUGAACUGCCGGUGGGUAUCGCUCGGGCGGCGGAGCUGAAAUGCCUCCGUGUCCACAGCCACACGAAGAUACCAGAUGGGAUGCUGGCAAGGAUGACAGGCCUGGAAGAGCUAGGAGACAUCAACAUCUCCAAGCCAGGGCUACUGCGAGAGCUACAUAGUCUCAAGAAGCUGACGAUCCUCGGGGUCGCCCUAUGGUCAUGGGAUGAGAGCUGCGACGAUGCGCUGCUCGGCUGCAGCCUGCACUUCUUGCAUGCUCUGGGCGAGAAAUGGGAGCCUCCACAGCUCCGGAACCUCGUGAUCAGCCACAGCGCUCUCGUCAUGCUGCCGCCAUGGAUACCCUCGCUCGAGGACAACCUCUCCUCCUUAUCCAUCGAGAAUCUCCUUGUUCUCUGCCUGACAUCAGACCAUGCCCCAAAACCAAAUGGGAGGUUCACCACCCGGGGAUUCAGGAAUCUAAUAAGCUUCAACUUUGCGAGCAAUGCCAUGGGGAAAGUGUUUGAACCAGGGGCUAUGCUCAAGCUCACAAGGCUUAAGCUUUCGUUUGAAGCUUCACUGACCAGAGAUCUGUCCCCAGGAUUCCAUUUCGGGCUGGAGAAUCUGCCUUCCCUAGAGCACGCAAGAGUUAGGAUAAUAUGUUUCAGUGCCAGCCUUCAGCAGGUGAAGGAUGCAGAGGACGCGAUCUCAAAGGCGAUAUGCACGGCAAAUCUUCAAAUACAAAGAGUGCAUGAACAAUACAUGGCAGAAGACAACGACGAAGAAGAAGGAAAAGAACCACUGCAGGUAGCUUAUUUUCGCUCCGCCAACGACUGGGUUAUUGCUUCAGAACCCGGCAUAUAUAUGCUUCGAUAA
Molecule: ribosomal RNA, 2826 nt
Filed under: Triticum aestivum (bread wheat)
Lineage: Eukaryota; Viridiplantae; Streptophyta; Magnoliopsida; Poales; Poaceae
Description: partial small subunit ribosomal RNA
Source: RNAcentral